CCCCUUUUGUUUGGACGGGACUCGGCCUAUAUUAGAGACGUCUCCUCGGAGACUAUGGCGAUAAACGCCGUUCGUAAUAGGCAGAGCGGACCCGGGGGCAGUACCCGGCGCCUCCACCAGUUUCGUCCGCCCCAAUGGUUUCUCGUUAGAGACAGGGGCGGACUUUAAGGGGGCGAACCAGGAUCGACGCAUGUUGAAAGGGACGAUUUUCGCUCGGCAUGGCACCACCGUUAUCGGGCCAUCGCAAUAGUUGCCAACGACAACUUUGCUGAGGCUCGCGCAGCUGCUUAAUGCAGCCUAGCGACCUGAACUGAAUCCCUGCCGUUUUGCAACGUCAGGUGGGGUCUGUCGGGCACCUAGCAACAGAAGCCCGGCAUU
RNAcentral lists this transfer-messenger RNA (378 nucleotides) under Limibacillus halophilus. RNAcentral describes it as "Alphaproteobacteria transfer-messenger RNA". It matches the Rfam family "Alphaproteobacteria transfer-messenger RNA". From Rfam's summary of the family: Bacterial tmRNA, also known as 10Sa RNA or SsrA, is named for its dual tRNA and mRNA-like properties. The record is from Rfam by way of RNAcentral. Lineage: Bacteria; Pseudomonadati; Pseudomonadota; Alphaproteobacteria; Rhodospirillales; Rhodovibrionaceae.